This 251-nucleotide ribosomal RNA is filed under the name uncultured Pelotomaculum sp. RNAcentral's name for it is "partial 16S ribosomal RNA". It matches the Rfam family "Bacterial small subunit ribosomal RNA", at positions 796 to 1041 of the family's 1533-position model. Lineage: Bacteria; Bacillati; Bacillota; Clostridia; Eubacteriales; Desulfotomaculaceae. The record is from RNAcentral.
CACGCCGUAAACGAUGGGUGCUAGGUGUAGGAGGUAUCGACCCCUUCUGUGCCGUAGUUAACACAAUAAGCACCCCGCCUGGGGAGUACGGCCGCAAGGUUGAAACUCAAAGGAAUUGACGGGGGCCCGCACAAGCGGUGGAGCAUGUGGUUUAAUUCGACGCAACGCGAAGAACCUUACCAGGGUUUGACAUCCCCUGACAGCCGUUGAAAGAUGGUUUUUUGCCUUCGGGUAAACAGGGAGACAGGUGG